This is a non-coding RNA of Penaeus vannamei (Pacific white shrimp), 405 nucleotides long. The record is from RefSeq and is a predicted model, not a curated record. Lineage: Eukaryota; Metazoa; Arthropoda; Malacostraca; Decapoda; Penaeidae.
CCCAAAAAAAACAAGAUAAACAUCCGAAUGAAACACAAAACAAAAACAACAUUGAUGAUAAAACAAACAAUCUAAGAAUCCAACUUGAGAUAGUCAGCAAUGCGGAAAUUCUGACGACAAUGAAACCAACAGUGGCGCGAUGCAGUUAAUACCUUUGUACUCUCAGGAUAUGUGAACCAGAGAGCAGUGAACUCCUUUGGGAAAGUACCAUGAACUCUUGGCCGCUUCGGAAUGUAGAUCGGAUCCUGUGAGCUUUCUUUGUUCUGGUACCUGAAUAUGUUGCACCAGUAGCUUACCGGGAAUGCCGUCUCUGUGGACUGAAUAUUGAUUUUCCUGUAUUGCGAUGUGCUUCUAGGAACGGCACGUACAUAUGUGCAUGGGUGUAAAUACAGAUACACAUGCAGA